GCCGGGCAUGGUGGUGUGUGCCUGUAAUCCCAGCUUCUCAGGAGGCUGAGGCAGGAGAAUCACUUGAACCCGGGAGGGGGAGGUUGCAGUGAGCUGAGAUUGCGCCACUGCACUCCAGCCUGGGUGACAGAGUGAGACCCUGUCUCAA
Molecule: unclassified non-coding RNA, 148 nt
Organism: Pongo abelii (Sumatran orangutan)
Lineage: Eukaryota; Metazoa; Chordata; Mammalia; Primates; Hominidae
Rfam family: Metazoan signal recognition particle RNA
About the family: The signal recognition particle (SRP) is a universally conserved ribonucleoprotein.
Source: Ensembl